AAACUUUCAACAACGGAUCUCUUGGCUCUCGCAUCGAUGAAGAACGCAGCGAAAUGCGAUAAGUAAUGUGAAUUGCAGAAUUCAGUGAAUCAUCGAAUCUUUGAACGCACCUUGCGCCUCUUGGUAUUCCGAGAGGCAUGCCUGUUUGAGU
This 151-nucleotide ribosomal RNA is filed under the name Fellomyces sp. CBS 8281. RNAcentral describes it as "5.8S ribosomal RNA". It matches the Rfam family "5.8S ribosomal RNA". From Rfam's summary of the family: 5.8S ribosomal RNA (5.8S rRNA) is a component of the large subunit of the eukaryotic ribosome. It is transcribed by RNA polymerase I as part of the 45S precursor that also contains 18S and 28S rRNA. RNAcentral also lists the same sequence under 1 other name. The record is from RNAcentral. Lineage: Eukaryota; Fungi; Basidiomycota; Tremellomycetes; Tremellales; Cuniculitremaceae.